GACAGAAGGGGCAAGCGUUGCUCGGAAUCACUGGGCGUAAAGGGCGCGUAGGCGGGGCCGCAAGUCGAUCGUGAAAUCCUUCGGCUCAACUGUGGGCUUGCAGCUGAUACGGGCGGGCUAGAAUUCGGUAGGGGAGACUGGAAUUCCUGGUGUAGCGGUGAAAUGCGCAGAUAUCAGGAGGAACACCGGUGGCGAAGGCGGGUCUCUGGGCCGAUAUUGACGCUGAGGAGCGAAAGCGUGGGGAGCGAACAGG
This 253-nucleotide ribosomal RNA is filed under the name uncultured bacterium. RNAcentral's name for it is "partial 16S ribosomal RNA". It matches the Rfam family "Bacterial small subunit ribosomal RNA", at positions 524 to 776 of the family's 1533-position model. The record is from RNAcentral.